UUAAAAGGCCAGGGCCCCACCUGACCCCAUGCCGAACUCAGAAGUGAAACGCCGUAGCGCCGAUGGUAGUGUGGGGUCUCCCCAUGCGAGAGUAGGGAAC
RNAcentral lists this ribosomal RNA (100 nucleotides) under Escherichia coli. The record is from RNAcentral. Lineage: Bacteria; Pseudomonadati; Pseudomonadota; Gammaproteobacteria; Enterobacterales; Enterobacteriaceae.